Molecule: unclassified non-coding RNA, 181 nt
Filed under: uncultured Sordariales
Lineage: Eukaryota; Fungi; Ascomycota; Sordariomycetes; Sordariales
Description: sequence contains ITS2
Source: RNAcentral
CAACCCUCGGGCUCCUGCUCCCCACCGGGGAUGUGGCCUGGCGUUGGGGUAUCUGCAGCUGACCGCAGGCCCUGAAAGAGAGUGGCGGCGCCCGCUAGCACUCCGGGCGUAGUGGAUGUCUUUCUCGCCCAGGACGUCUCGCGGGCCGCCGGCCGUAAAACAGCCCCCAGUCAUUACAAGG